CCUACGGGGGGCAGCAGUGGGGAAUUUUGGACAAUGGGGGAAACCCUGAUCCAGCCAUGCCGCGUGCGGGAAGAAGGCCUUCGGGUUGUAAACCGCUUUAGUCUAGGAAAAAGGGGUGCAGGGUUAAUACCUCUGUGCUUUGAUGGUACUGGAAGAAUAAGCACCGGCUAACUACGUGCCAGCAGCCGCGGUAAUACGUAGGGUGCGAGCGUUAAUCGGAAUUACUGGGCGUAAAGCGUGCGCAGGCGGUCUUGUAAGACAGUCGUGAAAGCCCCGGGCUUAACCUGGGAACUGCGAUUGUGACUGCAAGGCUAGAGUGUGUCAGAGGGGGGUAGAAUUCCACGUGUAGCAGUGAAAUGCGUAGAGAUGUGGAGGAAUACCGAUGGCGAAGGCAGCCCCCUGGGAUAACACUGACGCUCAUGCACGAAAGCGUGGGGAGCAAACAGGAUUAGAUACCCCGGUAGUC
RNAcentral lists this ribosomal RNA (466 nucleotides) under uncultured bacterium. RNAcentral's name for it is "bacterial SSU rRNA". It matches the Rfam family "Bacterial small subunit ribosomal RNA", at positions 338 to 795 of the family's 1533-position model. The record is from RNAcentral.